CUCUGCUUCCUGUGCCUGGCUGAAGAUCUGAGCUCUCAGCUUUCGGCUCCAGCUGCCUCCCACCACGCCUCCCCAACCCUGCCAGACUCAGCGCUCUGGAACCACAAACCAGAUAAAUUCUUCCUUCUGAUGAAAUUGUACUUGCUGAAUUGAAUCAGAUGGAAACAAGUCUAAAAUUCCAGGGCAGGGUCCUCCCUUCCUAGUUCGUCUGCCCGGCAUAUGCACUAGAUGUCAGUGGGGCCUGAAUCAUUAAAACAAUCACUUCCUCUUC
Nannospalax galili (Upper Galilee mountains blind mole rat) is the source of this 271-nucleotide long non-coding RNA. RefSeq lists it as uncharacterized. Lineage: Eukaryota; Metazoa; Chordata; Mammalia; Rodentia; Spalacidae. The record is from RefSeq and is a predicted model, not a curated record. The transcript has 2 exons.